Alosa alosa (allis shad) is the source of this 1484-nucleotide RNA transcript. It is a transcript of the gene named histone H2B 1/2-like, with no coding region annotated. Lineage: Eukaryota; Metazoa; Chordata; Actinopteri; Clupeiformes; Clupeidae. The record is from RefSeq and is a predicted model, not a curated record. The transcript has 3 exons.
CUGCAAAGUCACGUUCCGUCAACGAAGUCUCAGCAAGACUAAGACAGAUCACUAUGCCUGAACCCGCGAAGGCAGCGCCCAAGAAGGGAUCCAAGAAAGCCGUUACCAAGACGACAGGAAAGGGAGGAAAGAAGCGCAGAAAGACCAGGAAGGAGAGUUAUGCCAUCUACGUGUACAAGGUCCUGAAGCAGGUCCACCCCGACACCGGUAUCUCCUCCAAAGCGAUGGGCAUUAUGAACUCGUUCGUAAACGACAUCUUCGAGCGCAUCGGAGGAGAGGCUUCCCGCUUGGCUCACUACAACAAGAGGUCCACCAUCACCUCCAGGGAGAUCCAGACCGCAGUGCGUCUGCUUUUGCCCGGUGAGCUGGCCAAGCACGCCGUAUCCGAGGGAACCAAGGCCGUCACCAAGUACACCAGCUCCAAAGCAGAAGUUCUCCCUAGUCAACGACAAGGACACAAGACAAUGAUGUAAGAUGCUUGGGUUAUAAUCAACAAACGAGAAACCUACAUCCUCACAGCUAAUUGCACCUGUAUGGCAGGGCUUGGGUCAUGCUGCAGCCAUGCAGCUGCAAUAUUAUUCAAAGUUGAGUUAUAUGGUAGGAUGGGAAGGACAGAGAAAGAAGCGGUUACUUCUGGAGUGUGCAUGUGGAAAGAUGUCAGCAGGAAAGAAGUCACACCGGCUCCAUUGAGGGAUAUCUGCUUCCAGAAACCAAAAAGGCUAGGCAGGCAACUUUCAGCAGCUUCAACAUCUACUAGGAAGAAUAGUAUCACACCCAGAGGCAUGUAGUGUAUAAUAGUUGACAGAGCCUAGAUAAGUUUCCUUUUGCCAUUGUGCGUUUAAUUAAUUCUCGGGAUUUCUUUUCAGUGUUUUGACACAAUAAUAGCCUGAGAAAGGUGUUGAUAAUGCAAAAAUGAACAGGCUGACAGACCAACAUGGCUGAUUUUUCAUUAACACACUCAGUUUGAAUAGUUUCACUAUUAUGUUAGUUUGAAUGUCUUCAGAUUACUGAUUCUAGAAAUUAGAUUGUUAUCUACAGCUUAACUGGUCUGGUUUUUAGAAAUAUUCUUAUGAAGCACACUGAUUGUGUCCUUUUGUUGCUCUAUUGUCAGUGUUGACAGAUGAUGACAUUCGGGAACUGCGGGAUGUGGACCCAGGUGCUGCAGUGCUGACAAGCCUUGAAAACAGUGACACGGGCACAGCAUCAUCUGACACUGAUUUAGAGGAACAUCCAGACUUACCUGAGCCCUUGACAGCUUUAUGGGAUGCAACACUAAGGGAGCUCUCACCACAGGACAUGCAGGUGAAAUGUGAAGAUACAUUUCAUAAACUAAAAGCUACACUACAACCUCAGCAAUGUGAGAAACUGGAAUUUGUGACACGGCAACAGUCAAAGUCAAAUGAGUGGCACACCUAUAGGGCUGGUCGGAUCACAAGCACCAAACUUCACCAUGCAACCACAACUGACAAGAUAAGCAAAACAUA